GACUUUGCGUUACAGCCAGCUCUUCGCAAGGCUGAUGGCUGGUGGCAAUUGCCACCGGCCU
Molecule: small RNA, 61 nt
Filed under: Thiopseudomonas alkaliphila
Lineage: Bacteria; Pseudomonadati; Pseudomonadota; Gammaproteobacteria; Pseudomonadales; Pseudomonadaceae
Description: Oblitimonas alkaliphila Pseudomonas sRNA P26
Rfam family: Pseudomonas sRNA P26
About the family: P26 is conserved across many Gammaproteobacteria species and appears to be consistently located between the DNA directed RNA polymerase (beta subunit) and 50S ribosomal protein L7/L12 genes.
Source: Rfam by way of RNAcentral